This 282-nucleotide unclassified non-coding RNA is filed under the name uncultured Glomeraceae. RNAcentral describes it as "sequence contains 5.8S rRNA gene". The stretch from base 1 to 53 matches the Rfam family "5.8S ribosomal RNA", at positions 102 to 154 of the family's 154-position model. The record is from RNAcentral. Lineage: Eukaryota; Fungi; Glomeromycota; Glomeromycetes; Glomerales; Glomeraceae.
GAACGCAAAUUGCACUUUCUGGUAUUCCGGAAAGUAUGCCUGUUUGAGGGUCAGUUAAAUAAAAAUCGGUGUUGUUGCUGCCUUUCGUGGUGACGCGUCGGAAUUGGGUCGUCUUACCUUCGGUUAAGUGACUUAAAAUUUUGUACGAUUUUCGAACGUAUUUAAAUUGCUUACGUACGUUUGAGAUAUCGAAUGUUUAUUAGGUUCGGUCAUUCUCAUGACUCGCGCCUAUAAUUUUUCAUUAAAUGACCUCAAAUCAGGUAAGAAUACCCGCUGAACUUA